This 253-nucleotide ribosomal RNA is filed under the name uncultured bacterium. Its description in RNAcentral is "partial 16S ribosomal RNA". It matches the Rfam family "Bacterial small subunit ribosomal RNA", at positions 524 to 776 of the family's 1533-position model. The record is from RNAcentral.
UACGUAGGGUGCGAGCGUUGUCCGGAAUUAUUGGGCGUAAAGGGCUCGUAGGCGGUUUGUCGCGUCGGGAGUGAAAACCUUGGGCUUAACUCAGGGCUUGCUUUCGAUACGGGCAGACUAGAGGUAUGCAGGGGAGAACGGAAUUCCUGGUGUAGCGGUGAAAUGCGUAGAUAUUGGGAGGAACACCAGUGGCGAAGGCGGCUACCUGGACCGGAACUGACGCUGAUGCGCGAAAGCGUGGGUAGCAAACAGG